UGGAUCCAGACUUUGAUUCUGGCUCAGGAUGAACGCUAGCUACAGGCUUAACACAUGCAAGUCGAGGGGAAACGAUAGAGUAAGCUUGCUUUUUCUAGGCGUCGACCGGCGCACGGGUGAGUAACGCGUAUCCAACCUGCCCAUCACUUGGGGAUAACCUUGCGAAAGUAAGACUAAUACCCAAUGAUAUCUCUAGAAGACAUCUGAAGGAGAUUAAAGAUUUAUCGGUGAUGGAUGGGGAUGCGUCUGAUUAGCUUGUUGGCGGGGUAACGGCCCACCAAGGCGACGAUCAGUAGGGGUUCUGAGAGGAAGGUCCCCCACAUUGGAACUGAGACACGGUCCAAACUCCUACGGGAGGCAGCAGUGAGGAAUAUUGGUCAAUGGACGAGAGUCUGAACCAGCCAAGUAGCGUGCAGGAUGACGGCCCUAUGGGUUGUAAACUGCUUUUAUAAGGGAAUAAAGUGAGUCUCGUGAGACUUUUUGCAUGUACCUUAUGAAUAAGGACCGGCUAAUUCCGUGCCAGCAGCCGCGGUAAUACGGAAGGUCCGGGCGUUAUCCGGAUUUAUUGGGUUUAAAGGGAGCGUAGGCCGGAGAUUAAGCGUGUUGUGAAAUGUAGACGCUCAACGUCUGCACUGCAGCGCGAACUGGUUUCCUUGAGUACGCACAAAGUGGGCGGGAUUCGUGGUGUAGCGGUGAAAUGCUUAGAUAUCACGAAGAACUCCGAUUGCGAAGGCAGCUCACUGGAGCGCAACUGACGCUGAAGCUCGAAAGUGCGGGUAUCGAACAGGAUUAGAUACCCUGGUAGUCCGCACGGUAAACGAUGGAUGCCCGCUGUUGGUCUGAAUAGGUCAGCGGCCAAGCGAAAGCAUUAAGCAUCCCACCUGGGGAGUACGCCGGCAACGGUGCAACUCAAAUGAAUUGACGGA
This 926-nucleotide ribosomal RNA is filed under the name uncultured bacterium. Its description in RNAcentral is "bacterial SSU rRNA". It matches the Rfam family "Bacterial small subunit ribosomal RNA", at positions 1 to 917 of the family's 1533-position model. The record is from RNAcentral. RNAcentral also lists the same sequence under 1 other name.